RNAcentral lists this ribosomal RNA (484 nucleotides) under uncultured bacterium. RNAcentral describes it as "partial 16S ribosomal RNA". It matches the Rfam family "Bacterial small subunit ribosomal RNA", at positions 30 to 507 of the family's 1533-position model. The record is from RNAcentral.
AUUGAACGCUGGCGGCAGGCCUAACACAUGCAAGUCGAGCGGAUGAAGGGAGCUUGCUCCUGGAUUCAGCGGCGGACGGGUGAGUAAUGCCUAGGAAUCUGCCUGGUAGUGGGGGAUAACGUCCGGAAACGGGCGCUAAUACCGCAUACGUCCUGAGGGAGAAAGUGGGGGAUCUUCGGACCUUACGCUAUCAGAUGAGCCUAGGUCGGAUUAGCUAGUUGGUGGGGUAAAGGCCUACCAAGGCGACGAUCCGUAACUGGUCUGAGAGGAUGAUCAGUCACACUGGAACUGAGACACGGUCCAGACUCCUACGGGAGGCAGCAGUGGGGAAUAUUGGACAAUGGGCGAAAGACUAAUCCAGCCAUGCCGCGUGUGUGAAGAAGGUCUUCGGAUUGUAAAGCGCUUUAAGUUGGGAGGAAGGGCAGUAAGUUAAUACCUUGCUGUUUUGACGUUACCAAAAGAAUAAGCACCGGCUAACUUCGUG